RNAcentral lists this unclassified non-coding RNA (603 nucleotides) under Hevea brasiliensis (rubber tree). Lineage: Eukaryota; Viridiplantae; Streptophyta; Magnoliopsida; Malpighiales; Euphorbiaceae. The record is from RNAcentral.
CAAACCUCAACUCAAAUAUCAACAAAAUCAAUUAAACAUAUCAUUGAUAUAAUCGUCAAAAACCAAAUAGACAUUAUACUGGUUUGCAUGCAAGAGACACCCAUUGCUUGUAAUUAAAUAUCCACCUCAAUUUAAUAGAAACCCAAUGAAAUUCAGUAUAGAAGACCAAAGAUAUAAUAAUAUUAAAAACAAACACAAAAUAGCAGAAACCUAAUUAAACCCAAUUUCUGAUCGUAUCAGCCCCAAGUGAAUCAGUUUGAUUAUGGUGGAAUAGCAGUCUCUGUUUAUAUUACCCAUUCAGUUGUCGAUGCAAAAACAGAGUUCUUCAUCACCAGUUGGGCUGCAAUUAACAACAUCCUUUGAGGCAAAUGGGGAAACAAAUGGUGCUCAACUUGAAACUACAAUCCAAUAGUCUGAUGAAAAGAUUCUUGUUUCAUGGUUCCAAUAUAGCUACUUUGAGAGGAGUGGGCAAUAGAUUACAUAGGAAAAUCCAACCUUAAAUGGCCAACAGGAUUAGAGAACGAGUUCAAUAAAGAUGGAGAGGAAGGCAGUCUUCGCUCUAGAGAAUUAAUCAAUUUAUGAGACAUCCCAAUUCUUACAAAG